Molecule: non-coding RNA, 23 nt
Filed under: Arabidopsis thaliana (thale cress)
Lineage: Eukaryota; Viridiplantae; Streptophyta; Magnoliopsida; Brassicales; Brassicaceae
Source: RNAcentral
UGCGGUUCUAGUUCUUAUGCCUA